GGGCCUGUGGUCUAGCCCGGUAUGACGCCACCUUCACACGGUGGAGAUCCCCAGUUCAAAUCUGGGCAGGCCCA
Molecule: transfer RNA, 74 nt
Filed under: Candidatus Woesearchaeota archaeon
Lineage: Archaea; Nanobdellati; Candidatus Woesearchaeota
Description: tRNA-Val
Rfam family: tRNA
About the family: Transfer RNA (tRNA) molecules are approximately 80 nucleotides in length. Their secondary structure includes four short double-helical elements and three loops (D, anti-codon, and T loops).
Source: RNAcentral